RNAcentral lists this ribosomal RNA (429 nucleotides) under Acidobacteriota bacterium. RNAcentral describes it as "Acidobacteria bacterium partial 16S ribosomal RNA". It matches the Rfam family "Bacterial small subunit ribosomal RNA", at positions 355 to 776 of the family's 1533-position model. The record is from RNAcentral. Lineage: Bacteria; Pseudomonadati; Acidobacteriota.
UGGGGAAUUUUGGACAAUGGGGGAAACCCUGAUCCAGCCAUCCCGCGUGUGCGAUGAAGGCCUUCGGGUUGUAAAGCACUUUUGGCAGGAAAGAAACGUCAUGGGUUAAUACCCCGUGAAACUGACGGUACCUGCAGAAUAAGCACCUGCUAACUACGUGCCAGCAGCCGCGGUAAUACGUAGGGUGCAAGCGUUAAUCGGAAUUACUGGGCGUAAAGCGUGCGCAGGCGGUUCGGAAAGAAAGAUGUGAAAUCCCAGAGCUCAACUUUGGAACUGCAUUUUUAACUACCGGGCUAGAGUGUGUCAGAGGGAGGUGGAAUUCCGCGUGUAGCAGUGAAAUGCGUAGAUAUGCGGAGGAACACCGAUGGCGAAGGCAGCCUCCUGGGAUAACACUGACGCUCAUGCACGAAAGCGUGGGGAGCAAACAGG